RNAcentral lists this long non-coding RNA (326 nucleotides) under Ananas comosus (pineapple). RNAcentral's name for it is "long non-coding RNA (ACOM_LNC042358)". The record is from RNAcentral. Lineage: Eukaryota; Viridiplantae; Streptophyta; Magnoliopsida; Poales; Bromeliaceae.
AUGAUGCAUGCAUUCAUAUUCAUGAUUAUGGGCAUAGUAGCAUAGUUUUCCUACUACUGCAUUUACAGCUUUCAGAUACAUAUCUAUCUAUCUGUUGUUACUUGUGCCCACUUGGACCUAGUGGGGAGAUCGGCAGAGUCGGCGGCCGAGCCCACUGGGAACUAUGGAAGAUAGUUCUCACCCCACUCUAUUUCCAGUGGUAGGUUCAGGGCUGCAGAGAGGGGACCGCGGCAAGGGCGUCGCGCCCGACCAGUGAGACCGUGGUAGUAUAGUAGCUUUCCUUUUUGCAUUAGUCACCUAUGUAUAGAGAGAGAUUUAUUGUAGGU